Long non-coding RNA from Esox lucius (northern pike), 355 nucleotides. RefSeq lists it as uncharacterized. Lineage: Eukaryota; Metazoa; Chordata; Actinopteri; Esociformes; Esocidae. The transcript has 3 exons. The record is from RefSeq and is a predicted model, not a curated record.
CAAAAUAUGGACCCAAAUUACGAGUGCUGUUAAUAGUGUGGGGGUUGAGAAGCGCACUCCAACAGAGGUGAAAAAAAAGUGGUCCGAUUCAAAGAUCGCCACAAAGAGGCGCGUCUCGGCACUGAAGAGGAGCCAGAGUCAGACUGGGGGAGGCCCACCGGAUCCAAGUCUCCAGCUGACACCGAACGAGGAGCGGGUGGCAGCCCUCAUCGGAACGGUGUCUUUGGAAGGUAUCACCGGUGGGAGAGAUACCGACGACAUUCAUAAUGAUGGCACUGCAGGGCCCAGCGCCCUCGAGGCAUCUCCCCCUCAGCCCAUCCAGGAGCCUGAGCCUAUCCUUGCGCCAGAGCCUGAA